GUUUAUACAUCUCUAAAAUAAAAAUUUGUGGCAGCCAAAGAAAAUUACCAUCACAGCCAGCAGCCCCCACUCAAGAUACACGGUUCCGAAGGUUUUGGUCUCAAGAACUUACCAGGGAACAUGUUUCGCCGGGCCUCGUUUAGAAAAUGGACAUAACUGUUCCUGGUGGAUGGUUGAUAUUGGACAAGAUCAUCAGCUUAUGUGCAGCUACUAUGCCAUGAGGCAAGAUGGCUCCAAGGCCUUUCCGAGACAUUGGAAUAUUCAGGUACACAAUAGUCGACUCUAUUUAGAGGGAUAAGAUUUAGUUGUUGUUGUUUUCAUAAUAAGUGUUUGAUGCACGCAAAUUAGGGUUCGUUUUAAUUCAGAACUAGAGAAUUAGGGGGUUCUACAUGUUUGGAAUAUGUAGGCAUAAUGUUUUUGAUUACGGAGCAGAAAACAGGGAUUGUUUUUUACUGCAUCACAAUCAGGAAGAGAACAAUGUGAUCCCUACAUUCAACUCAUUAAUAUUUUAUUUGAUUAUUCGUUGUACAUUACGAUAAAAUAUGUUCCGCUUCUCAACUAGGCAAUUGAAAAAAGAAUUUCUGUCGAAGCACAGGUAUGAGAAGAAUCAGUUUUAUAGGGCCCACCACGACUACUUUGCUGAUACCGUAAUCUGCCGCAGCACAGGUAUGAGAAGAAUCUGCGAGUAUCAAUCUAACUGAGAAUAAACUGUGCAUUAUUUUGACGAAUAACAAGAUGCAUGUAUCUUUUGUUUAAUAUUUAUUGCUUUAGUUUGUAGAACUUUCAAAAUUGUGUUUUGUCACCGUUGUCCGAUUCUCAUUCCACAUUCCUCUCAUUGAUAGAGUAAAAUUUUAAUUAUUAUGGGUUUAGAAAGUAGAAAAAAAGUGGAAUGCCUAAUGAUUGUAUUUUUAGAUCUUAUUUUAAUUAUUUUACUUUUAUUUUUUCAAAUCAUGAAUCAUGAUAUUGAUGGAGAUUUUCAGUCACUCGAAGAUGAAGCGACUCAAAGAUGAAGCGACGUAAAUGUAGAGAGAUGUAGUUGUUUAAGUUAAAAUUAAUGUAUGUUGAUACUCAUUUUAAGAUGUUAUUUUUAUAUAUGAAUAAGUUUUAUAAUUUAAGAUCAUAAAAAUAUUUUUAUGUAAAAAUGA
Long non-coding RNA from Vicia villosa (hairy vetch), 1145 nucleotides. RefSeq lists it as uncharacterized. Lineage: Eukaryota; Viridiplantae; Streptophyta; Magnoliopsida; Fabales; Fabaceae. The record is from RefSeq and is a predicted model, not a curated record. The transcript is spliced from 3 exons.